This 497-nucleotide ribosomal RNA is filed under the name uncultured bacterium. Its description in RNAcentral is "partial 16S ribosomal RNA". It matches the Rfam family "Bacterial small subunit ribosomal RNA", at positions 28 to 507 of the family's 1533-position model. The record is from RNAcentral.
GAUGAACGCUGGCGGCGUGCCUAAUACAUGCAAGUCGAGCGAACAGACGAGGAGCUUGCUCCUCUGACGUUAGCGGCGGACGGGUGAGUAACACGUGGAUAACCUACCUAUAAGACUGGGAUAACUUCGGGAAACCGGAGCUAGUACCGGAUAAUAUAUUGAACCGCAUGGUUCAAUAGUGAAAGACGGUUUUGCUGUCACUUAUAGAUGGAUCCGCGCCGCAUUAGCUAGUUGGUAAGGUAACGGCUUACCAAGGCAACGAUGCGUAGCCGACCUGAGAGGGUGACCGGCCACACUGGAACUGAGACACGGUCCAGACUCCUACGGGAGGCAGCAGUAGGGAAUCUUCCGCAAUGGGCGAAAGCCUGACGGAGCAACGCCGCGUGAGUGAUGAAGGUCUUCGGAUCGUAAAACUCUGUUAUUAGGGAAGAACAAAUGUGUAAGUAACUAUGCACGUCUUGACGGUACCUAAUCAGAAAGCCACGGCUAACUACGUG